This 514-nucleotide ribosomal RNA is filed under the name uncultured bacterium. RNAcentral describes it as "partial 16S ribosomal RNA". It matches the Rfam family "Bacterial small subunit ribosomal RNA", at positions 28 to 523 of the family's 1533-position model. The record is from RNAcentral.
GACGAACGCUGGCGGCGUGCCUAAUACAUGCAAGUUGAGCGCUGAAGGUUGGUACUUGUACCGACUGGAUGAGCAGCGAACGGGUGAGUAACGCGUGGGGAAUCUGCCUUUGAGCGGGGGACAACACUUGGAAACGAAUGCUAAUACCGCAUAAAAACUUUAAACACAAGUUUUAAGUUUGAAAGAUGCAAUUGCAUCACUCAAAGAUGCUCCUGCGUUGUUAUUCGCUAGUUGGUGAGGUAAAGGCUCACCAAGGCGAUGAUACAUAGCCGACCUGAGAGGGUAGUCAGCCACAUUGGGAGUGAGACACGGCCCAAACUCCUACGUUAAGCAGCAGUAGGGAAUCUUCGGCAAUGGACGAAAGUCUGACCGAGCAACGCCGCGUGAGUGAAGAUGGUUUUCGGAUCGUAAAACUCUGUUGGUAGAGAAGAACGUUGGUGAGAGUGGAAAGCUCAUCAAGUGACGGUAACUACCCAGAAAGGGACGGCUAACUACGUGCCAGCAGCCGCGGUAA